CUGGCUCAGGAUGAACGCUGGCGGCGUGCUUAACACAUGCAAGUCGAACGAAGCAUUCCAACUCUCGGAGGAAGAAUGACUGAGUGGCGGACGGGUGAGUAACGCGUGGGUAACCUGCCUUAGUACAGGGGGAUAACAGUUAGAAAUGACUGCUAAUACCGCAUAACCCGCUAGUACCGCAUGGUACAGACGGAAAAGAUUUAUCGGUAUAAGAUGGACCCGCGUCUGAUUAGCUAGUUGGUGAGGUAAUGGCUCACCAAGGCGACGAUCAGUAGCCGGCUUGAGAGAGUGAACGGCCACAUUGGGACUGAGACACGGCCCAAACUCCUACGGGAGGCAGCAGUGGGGAAUAUUGCACAAUGGGGGAAACCCUGAUGCAGCAACGCCGCGUGAAGGAAGAAGUAUUUCGGUAUGUAAACUUCUAUCAGCAGGAAAGAAAAUGACGGUACCUGACUAAGAAGCCCCGGCUAACUACGUGCCAGCCGCUGC
RNAcentral lists this ribosomal RNA (489 nucleotides) under uncultured bacterium. RNAcentral's name for it is "bacterial SSU rRNA". It matches the Rfam family "Bacterial small subunit ribosomal RNA", at positions 19 to 518 of the family's 1533-position model. The record is from RNAcentral.